UUAGCGAGCCUCAGAUGCUUUGGUGAUGCUGGAUAAGGGGACUCCACACUGUAGUAUGGCUUAGGUAAUACUGGAUAAGGGAAACUCACGCCGUCCACAGUAGUAUGUAGUGUUACAGGAAGCCAAAAAUUAGAUUCACAGACACAGUGAUAAGGAUCAGAAACCGGCACAAUGAUGUCAUCCCCACCAUGGCCCAGGGUGUGACUGAAUACAAGGAGAGCUUCGGGGUGGAUCCUGUCACCAGCCAAAAUGUUCAGUACUUUUUGGAUCGGUUCUACAUGAGUCGCAUCUCAAUUAGAAUGCUACUCAACCAGCACUCUUUAUUGUUUGGUGGAAAAGGAAGUCCAUCUCAUCGAAAACACAUUGGAAGCAUAAAUCCAAACUGUGAUGUAG
Molecule: long non-coding RNA, 393 nt
Filed under: Rattus norvegicus (Norway rat)
Lineage: Eukaryota; Metazoa; Chordata; Mammalia; Rodentia; Muridae
Description: long non-coding RNA NONRATT018255
Source: RNAcentral